RNAcentral lists this ribosomal RNA (255 nucleotides) under uncultured bacterium. Its description in RNAcentral is "partial 16S ribosomal RNA". It matches the Rfam family "Bacterial small subunit ribosomal RNA", at positions 524 to 776 of the family's 1533-position model. The record is from RNAcentral.
UACGUAGGGCGCAAGCGUUUAUCCGGAAUUAUUGGGCGUAAAGAGCUCGUAGGCGGUUUGUCGCGUCUGCCGUGAAAGUCCGGGGCUCAACUCCGGAUCUGCGGUGGAUACGGGGCAGGCUAGAGGCUGGUAGGGGCAAGCGGAAUUCCUGGUGUAGCGGUGAAAUGCGCAGAUAUCAGGAGGAACACCGGUGGCGAAGGCGGGUCUCUGGGCCGAUACUGACGCUGAGGAGCGAAAGCGUGGGGAGCGAACAGG